UACAGAGGGUGCAAGCGUUAAUCGGAGUUACUGGGCGUAAAGGGCGCGUAGGCGGAUAUUUAAGUCGGAUGUGAAAUCCCUGGGCUUAACCUAGGAAUUGCAUUCGAAACUAGAUGACUAGAGUAUGGGAGAGGAAAGUGGAAUUCCCGGUGUAGUAGUAAAAUACGUAGAUAUCGGGAGGAACACCAGUGCGAAGGCGGCUUUCUGGCCCAAUACUGACGCUGAGGCGCGAGAGCGUGGGGAGCAAACAGG
Molecule: ribosomal RNA, 252 nt
Filed under: uncultured bacterium
Lineage: Bacteria
Description: partial 16S ribosomal RNA
Rfam family: Bacterial small subunit ribosomal RNA
Source: RNAcentral